Molecule: ribosomal RNA, 497 nt
Filed under: uncultured bacterium
Lineage: Bacteria
Description: bacterial SSU rRNA
Rfam family: Bacterial small subunit ribosomal RNA
Source: RNAcentral
AACGAACGCUGGCGGCGCGCCUAAUACAUGCAAGUCGAGCGAGAAGACGUAGCAAUACGUUUGUAAAGCGGCGAACGGGUGAGGAAUACAUGGGUGACCUACCCUCGAGUGGGGAAUAACUAGCCGAAAGGUUAGCUAAUACCGCAUACGAUUCCUGGAUUGCGGUUCGGGAAGGAAAGCGAUACCGUGGGUAUCGCGCUCAUGGAUGGGCUCAUGUCCUAUCAGCUUGUGGUGAGGUAACGGCUCACCAAGGCUUCGACGGGUAGCUGGUCUGAGAGGACGAUCAGCCACACUGGCACUGCGACACGGGCCAGACUCCUACGGGAGGCAGCAGUAAGGAUAUUGCGCAAUGGGCGAAAGCCUGACGCAGCGACGCCGCGUGGGGGAUGAAGGUCUUCGGAUUGUAAACCCCUUUCGGGAGGGAAGAUGGAACGAGCAAUCGUUCGGACGGUACCUCCAGAAGCAGCCACGGCUAACUUCGUGCCAGCCGCCGCCGU